AACGGAAUCAAGAGGAGCUUGCUUUUCUUAGCUUAGUGGCGAACGGGUGAGUAACGCGUGAGUAACCUGCCCUGGAGUGGGGGACAACAGUUGGAAACGACUGCUAAUACCGCAUAAGCCCACGGAUCCGCAUGGAUCUGCGGGAAAAGGAUUUAUUCGCUCUAGGAUGGACUCGCGUCCAAUUAGCUAGUUGGUGAGGUAACGGCCCACCAAGGCGACGAUUGGUAGCCGGACUGAGAGGUUGAACGGCCACAUUGGGACUGAGACACGGCCCAGACUCC
Molecule: ribosomal RNA, 281 nt
Filed under: uncultured Subdoligranulum sp.
Lineage: Bacteria; Bacillati; Bacillota; Clostridia; Eubacteriales; Oscillospiraceae
Description: partial 16S ribosomal RNA
Rfam family: Bacterial small subunit ribosomal RNA
Source: RNAcentral